This 535-nucleotide transfer RNA is filed under the name uncultured cyanobacterium. RNAcentral's name for it is "partial 16S-23S intergenic spacer". The stretch from base 206 to 278 matches the Rfam family "tRNA". Lineage: Bacteria; Bacillati; Cyanobacteriota. The record is from RNAcentral.
AGACAACAAAAUGUUUAAUAUUAUUAUUUUGUCACCUUAGGUCGAUCGGUAUCUCACGUUUUUAAUUUAUUAAAAAUUUCAUUUCCUAAGUUUUUCUAGGUCACACCCAUUAUUUUCCUGGGCCAUUAGCUCAGGUGGUUAGAGCGCACCCCUGAUAAGGGUGAGGUCCCUGGUUCAAGUCCAGGAUGGCCCAUAUCUCUAUGUUGGGGGUAUAGCUCAGUUGGUAGAGCGCCUGCUUUGCAAGCAGGAUGUCAGCGGUUCGAGUCCGCUUACCUCCACUGAUUACCACCUCUUCCAUAAUCAAUAGAAGGGAAAAUUUUUUGAGUUGUGAUCAUAAUUCUGAACGAAUCUAGCUUCCUAAUGAAAUCAUUAAGAUGCUGGACUCAUUGAAUUAAUUUCAUUGUUUUCAGAGAACCUUGACAACUGCAUAGAUUAUUUUAAAGACAAUAAGCAUCUUGAAUGAUGCAGAUUUAUUAUUUGUGCAUAUGCAUUAAUAACAAUUCUAUUAAGCUGAUGCUUCAAUUUUGAAGUUAUU